This 464-nucleotide ribosomal RNA is filed under the name Vreelandella stevensii. RNAcentral's name for it is "partial 16S ribosomal RNA". It matches the Rfam family "Bacterial small subunit ribosomal RNA", at positions 338 to 794 of the family's 1533-position model. The record is from RNAcentral. Lineage: Bacteria; Pseudomonadati; Pseudomonadota; Gammaproteobacteria; Oceanospirillales; Halomonadaceae.
CCUACGGGCGGCUGCAGUGGGGAAUAUUGGACAAUGGGGGGAACCCUGAUCCAGCCAUGCCGCGUGUGUGAAGAAGGCCCUCGGGUUGUAAAGCACUUUCAGUGAGGAAGAACGCCUGGUGGUUAAUACCCAUCAGGAAAGACAUCACUCACAGAAGAAGCACCGGCUAACUCCGUGCCAGCAGCCGCGGUAAUACGGAGGGUGCGAGCGUUAAUCGGAAUUACUGGGCGUAAAGCGCGCGUAGGUGGCUUGAUAAGCCGGUUGUGAAAGCCCCGGGCUCAACCUGGGAACGGCAUCCGGAACUGUCAAGCUAGAGUGCAGGAGAGGAAGGUAGAAUUCCCGGUGUAGCGGUGAAAUGCGUAGAGAUCGGGAGGAAUACCAGUGGCGAAGGCGGCCUUCUGGACUGACACUGACACUGAGGUGCGAAAGCGUGGGUAGCAAACAGGAUUAGAUACCCUUGUAUC